UUUUUUUAGUAUACAUAUGUCCCAUGCAAUAUUUGGGACAUAAUUAUACUAAACAAAGUAUUUAUUGUUUAAUGGAACAUAUUUAUAUUUAAAAGUUAUUUGUUAUUUAU
This 110-nucleotide microRNA precursor is filed under the name Myotis lucifugus (little brown bat). Its description in RNAcentral is "miRNA (ENSMLUG00000020538.1)". The stretch from base 3 to 54 matches the Rfam family "mir-1302 microRNA precursor family". The record is from RNAcentral. Lineage: Eukaryota; Metazoa; Chordata; Mammalia; Chiroptera; Vespertilionidae.